This 7957-nucleotide unclassified non-coding RNA is filed under the name Dermacentor andersoni. RNAcentral describes it as "uncharacterized LOC126537566". The record is from RNAcentral. Lineage: Eukaryota; Metazoa; Arthropoda; Arachnida; Ixodida; Ixodidae.
UCGCCGCGGGGGCUGCUGGUGGCGGUGGAAGCAGUCACCUCGAUCAUUCCGUAACGAGCGUCAGCACGUAGCUGUCCCACCACCACCACCACCACCGGCUGGUAGGUGCUAUAUAUCUGGUUCCCGCCCCACUAAGACAGAGUUGUGUUGUUGCACUGGUGGCGCGCGUCGUUGUGCAUGCAUGACGGCGGUGUAUGUUUGUGAUUGUCGUAUGCGAGAGAUGCUUCACGAUAGUGCACGGUAGCCCGGUUGCGUUUCCGCUUGUGCCGCCGUCAGUGCUACUGGCGAGGACUGUCUUCCGACCGACGGCUCUGAGGCAAGCCCGGCCGUACGGUGCUCGCAGUGGCGAAUAAGUGUGCCUGACAUAGCGGUCGGUCGCCCUCGUUCCGAACAGGUGGUGCUGGCGCAGUAUCGCGGCCGCCGCCGGCGUGGUUGUGCUGCCGAGUCUCUCGAGGUGCCGGAGUGUGCGCGCUCCCGCUACAGCGCGGGUGAAGUAGAUACGGUCGCUUGUAAGCCGCGCAGUCACUCCUCAACUCGAAGGUCGGCGUCGGGUAUCGCACCACCAUGCGUGUCCGCAGUAGCGGCGGAAUGGUCCGGCUUCGCGACGUGUACUCCUGCGAAGAUCUGCAGUGAGUCGAGUUACUGGCGCAGCCGUUUUCGCUUCCUCGGUUGUUCCGAGUCGCGCGCUCCGUUCCGGGAGCAACCCCAACUCGUCGUCUUGCCGAGGUGUGAUCUCGAGGAUCGUCUUCUUUGGUGAUGACUCGUCGACUGCGGCGCGGAUUCAGCGGCGCCCCUGACAUGGAAUACCCGUGAUCCGACCUGGUUGUGGUGCCUGCUUGCCUGCCUGCCUUGGGUCGCUGGGCGAGCACCCGUCGUGUGCGCGAUUGGUACCACUUGUGAUUGCCUCGCACUCCUUCUCUUUCGCCCGCGGGUUCUACGCAAUCGAGAGAUAUAUCUGCUGAUUCGCCACAGGAGCAACGCCUUGUGACGCGGUGCCCACCAUGUCGGAGAGCAAAGCGGCCAAGCUAAAUCCUGCUGGUGGCCGGUGGAAGGAGAUGCGUCAUGACGAUCAGCAGCUGACUAACGACCUGUCCGCUUCGUCCGACGACGCGAUGGAGUCGCUAACGGACAACACGUUGACCGUCGGCGCUCCGCCGGCAGCAGCGCACGACGGGGUCGUGAACCCGGCCUUCGGCCACGGCGAGGAAGAGGACGAGCGCAACAACCUGCGCAGGAGCAGUCAGCAGAAGAGCCUCGAGGAGGAGAAGAACGCCGUCAACCAGCAGCAGCAGCAGCCGCAGCCGAACGGCAAGAUCCUCAACCACCACCGGAUCCAUAUUCCGGACGACGCGGUCAUCAACUACGACACGGCGCGCACGCGCAAGUCCCUGCAGCAUCGCAACGGCGACGUGGUCGCGCUGGACGUGUUCGCGGACUCGGCCAAGGCGCAGGAGGCCCUGAUGGGAGGGCUGGCCAACGGCGGCUCCGAGAGCGUGCGGCCGGUCUCUAGUCCCCUGACGAGCAGCAGCACGGCGGCCGCCGGAGACGCCGGCACCAAGAUGUUCGAGGAGUAUUUCAUUCCCGUCAACACGCACAAAAAGUUCCUCCGGGGCGAAAAGCUUUAUUUAACAAAAGAAAAAAGAAAAGUGUGUUCCGGGUGGAAGCGCAUGUUCUUCUGCUGUCUUCUACUCAUGAUCUUAGGCAUCGCUGUUCUAGUGGGAGUGUUAGCAGCAACUGGGUUCCUGCUGAGUGAUUCUAAGUCCUCUCCAAAGUCCGUUCACGUCGAUCCGAGUAGUUCGAGUAUGUAUGCCGGCUCGUCGACGCUAGAGGGUGCGCCGCAGCCAAGAGAAACCAGCCCGCCACCCACCCAACAGUCAUUACCGCCAUCAUCGCCGCCAAUCGUAGUCAUUUCUUCCGCUACCACCAGUCCAACCACGCAACCGACCCGACCUCCAUCGACGACAGUCACCGAGCCUACCGCGACCUCGGUCGCCACCGUCAGCACAAGGGACCAGUCCAUUGCGACGACACUGUCUCCCGUGGUGGUUGAAGUCACGACAGAAAGCGUAACCACGGUGUCGGAUCUGACGUCUACAUUUCACGGCUCCGUCGAGUCUUCAAUCACUACGAGUGUUCCGGUAACGGGUCAAGCCUCGCUCACGACCGUCGACUACAACCAGACAGACGGGACCGACGGUCCCGCUCCCGGCGUUCCAGUCACCAGCGCUCCGUCGACCACAUCUGUCCCGACGACGGCUGUGCCGUCGACGUCGGCCGAGGCCCUGCCGUCUACGGAGACGGCUGUAACGGAGAAAGCGGGUUCCACCGCAGAGACCUCUACCGUCACGCCUCCCGCGUUUGGAGCAACCACCAACGCAGCCACGACUGUGACCGAUGGCCCGACGACGACAGCAGGUACAACCAUGCAAGCACCGUUCACUGCUACUGGCUCCGCGUCCACCACGACUUCUGCAACGGUGACUCCGACAGAGCAGGAGCUGACCACCGUUGGCACGAGUGCGAUUCCCGAGAGGACAGCGACAACACCGGCAGCGGUCGAGACCACGGCCAGAGCCGAAAGCACGACCAGUCUGUAUGAGACGACGGUGGCCUCGCUGACCGAGAGCUCGUUGCCGACAGACGUGGGGACGGCGACGACGACAAGUUCGCCAAGGGAUGAAGAGUCGUCGAUGGUUACGGAGCCCGUUACAGCCGCGAGCACCGAGGAACGUACUCCCACCGGCGGUCUCCCUCUUCCUGGACCAAACGCUGUUGUUGGUGAGAUCACCCUUCCGGAAGAAAUUUUCAGCGAAUCUCUGAACAACAAGUCCUCCAUAGAAGCAAGAGAUCUCUCGAACCAGCUGAAACAAGGGUUAGAAGACAUCCUCAAGGGACUUGGGUACCGCUACGAGACGGUGGACAUUCUGAAGUACAGGAAAGGCAGCGUGGUGGCUUCGUUCGUGGUGGUCGGCGGCGACCUGCCUGCGGCCAAGGUCAAGGUGGCCAUCCGAGACUUCCUGGCCAAGAACAACGGCACGCUCAGGGGACGUCCCGUAGACUCGGCGUCGGUUGUCGCCAAGGACGUGACGAACUGGUGCAAGGUGGCCAACGGGGGUUGCCUCGGCAGCGUAUGCGAGUGGGACUACCUGAGUGGCACCAAAACCUGCAUCUGCCUGCCCGGCACGAGUAGGCUGAAUGAGACCGCGUGCGCGCAGCCAGAAGCACCCGCAGUAGCAACAACUGUAGAUGAAAAUACUGGAAUAACAACCCUUCUGCCAACAAGCGACAUUACAGAAGUCACUUCAGAGCCUACAAUGAGGAAAGUGGAAUGGACAACAACACCCGCGGAAGAGGCAUCAACCACCCCUCGAGAGGCAGCGGUGUCAGAGACAACGACACGAAUGACUGCACCUCCCUUGCCUCUGACGACGACAACGCAGACGCAAGUGCCAACGGACGCAGUAACGACGACUACCGCAUCUGUUACUGAAUUGUCAACGACGCCUGGACAAGAGACAACGACGUCACCCAAGAUUGCAAUACCUCCGGGCACAUUGAUUCUGCUCGCAACAACUGCUUCUCCAACCACGACCGCUGAACCAGUCUCCGAGCCAAGUUCUCCCGAGAUGGCAACGAGCGACGCUACGACAAUUCCGACAACUGAAGGCACAGUGCCGACGACGACGAGCCUUGCCACAGUGCAGGCCACCGAGCACACGACCAGCGCGACCUUGACGACUGAGCCACAGAAGGCGACCGACGUCGAAAGUCUGACGACUCGAGAGAUCCGUCAAUCGACGGUGGCAGCCUUCGUGACUGAAAGUAGCGACGUCACUAACGCAACGGCGAGUAUGGUGACAGACGCCGGAACUACGUUGCAGACCACUGAACAGACUACCAUUGCCGUUGUGUUUGAAGAGACCACUACUUCUGGCAUGGUGACAGGAGGCCCUUUGACAACGGAAGUCGGGGAAUUAACUACCGUGCCCGUGCCGUUAAACGAAACGUCGGUGACUAACGUUCCAACGAACGAAACGACACUCACUUCGUCAGUUUCUGCUGAGAACAGCACGGAAGAGACCACGAUGUCGUCAGUCACCGUUCCAUCCGUCAUGGUGUUCUCAUUAGCGCCUGCAACAGACGUUGACAACGCGACGGAAUCAACGCUUGCGACGACGGGGAACGAAACUUUGGAGGAGACAACGACGACGAUGUCAUCGGUGUACAGGGAAAUCGACGGUGAUGCCAUGAACGGCACCGACAUCGGCGAGUUCAACGCAACCGUCUCGACAGCUUCGACAGAUCCAAUCUUCGUCAACGAAACCCUGCCGUUCAACGUGACGGACUCUCCAAACACUACGCUCUCCCAGGUUGAGACAGUCACGGACGUCUCCAUGACGACCACAAUGGCCAGCGUAAUGAACGAAACAGAGUCGAUGAACGCGACGCUGACGUAUCCAGGUUUCGGCAACGGAUCGUCAACGGAAGAAGUGGACCCCGACUUGAACGUCAGCAACCGCACAUUCGCCAUGGGCAGGAACCUGACCUUCAUGAACAACAACACCCUGUCCGAAGAAGGCGUGGAUGUGGUGAACAGCACCAUGGAUUCGUGGAACAUGACGGCCGACGGCACGUUGCUGAACACUGCAAACAUCACGUUCGGAGAUGUCGACAGUACGAGCAUGAUGACCGAGAGCGACAAUACGACGCACGUUAGCAUGACGACCACCCAAUUCUUCAAUGAAAGCAUGGCAAACUCUACGGAAGAAAUGUUCAGGGCCCACUGUUCUUCCGAGGAAUUUUACUGUCCCGCCGAUGGAAGCCAUACUUGCCUGAAGACCAACCUUCUCUGCGAUCAGUUCGAGGACUGCCCUGGAGCCUUGGACGAACAGAAUUGCACCGACACCUGCGGAGUGAACUUCCAGUGCAAGGACACCUCUUGCGUCAUGGCGUCGGCCAAGUGCGACGGCAUCCGCGACUGCCCGGAAGGCGAAGACGAGCACAACUGCGACAUAGUAAACUCCACGUGCAGCGACCUCGAAGUGAUGUGUCCCGACAGCAGCGCCUGCAUCAAGCCGCUCAGCCUGUGCGACGGCAUCUACAACUGCAGAGACCGCAGCGACGAAAGCGGAUGUGUGGACAAGACUCUGUGCGAGCAAUCGAACAAGUUCUACUGCGGAGACAAGCUCUGCAUUUCCUCCGCUUUGAGGUGCGACGGCCACGAAGACUGCAAGGACGGAGAGGACGAGGUCAACUGCACCUGCGGUGAGAACCAGUUUCAAUGCAUGAACGGAUUCUGCGUAUCGUCUGCAACGGGGUCCGUUCGCUGCAACGGCAUCGCCGAUUGCAUCGAUGGAAGCGACGAGCGUGGCUGCGUGCAAGUGGACAACAACGGAUUGGCGCAGGCGUUCGACGGCGACAUGGGCUCGUGGACGCUCAUGUGCGCGGACAACGCGACGCUUGACCACGGGCACCAAAUUUGCCAGGAGAUGGGAUACAGCGGUGCCCUUUCGAUAAGGACGGUGAGGGUCGAAGCCAACGUCACCUCGUGGGGCUCGUGGAGCGACCCUUACGAGGGUCCCGACACCCUCUGGUCGAAGGGACUCACCUUCUCGGAGCCGUGCCACCAUGGUGCGCUCGCGGUCAGGUGCGACUAUUUCGAGUGCGAGAAUCAGACGGAAGUGCUGUUCCGCAUUGAGCGCGAGGCAACGGGCCAGCAGGCGCAGAACGACGUCUGGCCCUACCUGGCCCUGCUGCACGGCAACGACUCGGCGACCGCCUGCCACGGAGAGAUCGUGAGCCCGCUCUGGGUCUUGACCACCGCCUACUGUCUGCAGCAGCUUCCGCAGAACGCCUCGCAGCUGUACGUGCAGGCUGGCUUCGCGCGGCCUGCCAGCGCCCGCGAGCACCACCGCGUCGUGCGCGUGGUGCUGCACCCGCACUACUCGCAGUUCCGCUCCAGGACGCUGCCCGACUACGACCUGGCGCUCGUGAGGCUCGCCGAGCCGCUGUCCUUCGCCAACCACGUGGCCUCGGCCGUCUGCCUGCCCGACGACGUGGCCCGACCGGGCGUCACCUGCUUCGUCGGUAGCUUGGGAAACGGAAUGCCCCGAGUUCCAUUCACGACGGCGUCGUCGAUCAUCCACCUGCCAAUCGUCAUAAACGAGCUGACCACGUGCAACAACGAAGAGCACUAUAAAAACGAUGUCACCCAGAAAAUGAUCUGUGGAGACGGACGCCAAAUGAAGCGUCAGCUGUGCGAUGGUGAUCUCGGAGCUCCCUUGAUGUGCCUCUCGCCCAACAACAUCUGGCGCUUGGCCGGCGUGCUCAGCUACCAGCGGCACUGCGGCACCUACCAGAAGCACCCGUCCGUGUUCUCCAACAUCUACGAGAUGCGGGACUUCAUCCACAACGUGACCGGCCUGCUCUCCUACAACGUCACCCACGACCCGCAGCUGUACACGCUGCUCGAGUUCCCCCAGGCCGACGACGGCAACGUCUCGGCCGCCGUCCGCUCGCUCGCCGCCGGCAAGAUGGCCGGCCUCGAACACAACGCGUCGGCCGUGGCAGCCGCGCUCUAUUCGCACGAGAACAUCCUCGGCGAGCACGGGGAGAACGCCAGCGCAGCAACGACGACGGCGGCGGCGUCGACGAGCGCGGGGCACGACGUCAUGUACCUCGACUUGGAGGGCGUCAUCCCCAAGGUGAACCACACGAAGGACUCGAUCCUCGACUCGGAAGGAGAAGUUAACGUCACGGAGACGACCACCGUGGAGACUCCGACGACGCACAGCGGCGCGGGUGUGGAAGCCAGGCUUCAAGAGGUCGACCACGCGGGUGUCCACGCGACGACCACGACGAUGACAACGACGACUGCGAACGCUACCGAUGGCCCGACGGUCGUCGCCACCACGACGGUUGACCCUCACGAGAGCAUGGCCUCUUUGAGGCUCAUGGACGCCGACUCGGGCGACGUCUCGCCUCCGAGCGAGACUAGCCGCGAUGCCCCCGCGUCCUCUGUUCAGCAUGCUCACCAUGACGACCACGAAGACCGGCACCAACACCACACCGCGCCAGCGAACGAUACCAGAACAGAAGGCCGGGGCCGAUCUGCGCUCUUGGCCAAUCGGACAGUGGUCGGCGAACAGUUGCAAGCGUUUAUCGAGCGUAACAGCGCCGAAGAAACGAUGACAACUGAGCCGGGUUCGGUGGAGAACGGGACUGCACUUGCAGGAACUGCGACAGCUACGGAAAGAACGACCGGAACGUCCGACGAGGUCGACCGCGCCACUACGCACGACAACGCGCGAUCGCCGCUCGAGACUUCAACGGCCGCGACGAACGCUUCCAGCGCGGAAACGACCACGAUACUGACGGUGACAAGCCCGCGGCACGAUGGCCAUGCCUCCACGUCGAUGCUGGAAAAUGGCACGACGACGGUGGCGCCUGAAAGCUUGUCAACACUGCCAGCCGCAGGAGAUCCUACUGUCGACGAUUCACGCCGUGCCACGACCGAGGCUGCAAUCGUUGCGGCGCCGGCAGUACAGAAGAACGAGACACUGCACAUCGCAUCUCAUAAUUCGACCUGCCUAGGAUUCAGCUGCAACUCUGAUGGUGUGUGCAUUGACCAGUCCGGCGUUUGUGACGGCAAUUACGACUGCAAAGAUGCCAGCGACGAAAUUAACUGCGUCCAACUCAAGGAUGCAGUUGUACACGGGAGAAAAGAAGGAGCCGGUUGGAUGCCUGCUUGCGGGGACACCUGGGACGAUGCACUCAGUGACAAUGCCUGUCGAGAAAUGGGCUUCGAGUAAGCUUCGGAGACCAGCAUUAUUGCGCUCGAGUCACCGUACGCGAUGUCCCUUCGUCAUAGCAACAAGUCACAUGAGCAAGCGAGCAUACUGCAGUCACUGACACUCAGCAAUGAAACGUGCAAUACCAAGGUCACAAUGAAGUGCCA